GACUCAAAAUCUCGAAAGAUUCACACUUGAAAGGUCCUUAUCUUUCGAGAUAAAACAACUAUCUUUCGAAAAGAUUCCCUGAUCGAAAGAUAUAUUUCGAACUUCGAGGGACGGGUCGAAGGAUAUAAAUCUUUCGAGCCCUUCUUGAUCGAAAGAUAUCGAAGGAUGAUCUUUCGAUGUCGAAAGAUAUCUUUCGAUAUGUUCUGACACACUGACACAAAGUGAUGGGUUGGUGAAAAGGUGACAGGUUGGUAAGGUCAACUUUCGGCAAAAGGUAUGGUCAGACGUACUUUCCCACCAACUUUGAAAAUUUUGCCAAAAAUGAAAUCCUUAUCUUCAACACCAGUCACCGGAAUGUUAACCGGAGACUUAACCGGAAAAUACAAAAUCACUUAAAACAAUUUUUCAAGUUACCCAACCCCACUUAAAACACUCCCGGUUUGGCAUGAUUCUGCUGUUUUUGUACUGUUGUUUAGACACGUUUUUACUCAAAGAAAAUGCAAGAAAACAAGUAAAAACAGGUGCAAAAACCAAGUGUUUCAACACACCAAACUUGUAAAAACCCGGUUUUAAACAAGGUUAAGAGCCUUAGCUCUGAUACCACUUGUAGGUCCCUUUUCGAGGAGGAUUACGA
This 634-nucleotide long non-coding RNA is filed under the name Helianthus annuus (common sunflower). Its description in RNAcentral is "sRNA HanXRQr2_Chr06g0262171". Lineage: Eukaryota; Viridiplantae; Streptophyta; Magnoliopsida; Asterales; Asteraceae. The record is from RNAcentral.